GAAGCGUGGACGCUUCGCUUUUGAUAUGUAAAGUUUUGGGAACCUUUGAUGUAUAUUUGAUAUAUAUAUCUUGAAAUUCAAUUGAGGAUUGUAGUGAACGACUGAGUCCCGGCGAGAGCUGGGCAGGCGGCCCGCCGAACCCUCUGGUUCGCCUUAGGGGGAGGUGGGGCCGUGACAAUUGGUAUCAGAGCUUAGGAUUCAGAUCUCUGUAGUGUAUCCUAGGCUUGAAGUUUAGGAUGCCGGACUGUGGGAUUGAUUUGACUCUUGAGAGAUUUUUGCGGGAUGUCUUGACUUGAUUGGUACAAAAGGGAAUGUCGAGGACGACAUUCUUUUAAGGAGGGGAGAUUGUGACGCCCCGAAAAAAAAUGAGUUUGAGAACCCGGAAAUUUUCUAGGGUUUAUUUUAUUUAAUCGCCCGUUUUUUCUACAUUUUCUUUAUUAGAAAAAAUUCCCCAGAUAAUGUUUCUGAGCAAAGAUAGUUUUAAAAUGAUUUUUCUAGUAUUGGUUAGUGUUUGAGAAAUUAAAAGCGUAUUUUGAAUGUGGGACCCACUAGGGCGAAAAGUUCGGAAAAAUUCGACCAAUUAGGUGAAAUUCCGGAUACUGUGUAAAAUUUAUCGGGUGUUAAGAGAUAAGUAGAGUGUGUGAAAGGAUUGAUGUGAGAGAGAAAAAAAAGGAUAGGAAUGCAUUAAUGAAGUGCCACGUGUCACUUGGUGAUUGGUUUUGACUUAAGAACACUAUUCAUUUUUUUUGACUUUGGACCAAAAUUGGUUAAAUAUCUAAAAAUUUCACAAAAAAUCACCAUUUUCUUUCACCUUGUGGCCGGCCCUCUCUCUUGCCAAGAAGGAAGAAAACUUUUUCAAUCUUCAAGCUUUCCACUAGCUCAAAUCAUCCAAAUCAAUCGCACCAACUAGUUUCCACUCCAUACAAUCUUUCCAUUUAGUGUUAGUGGUGAGUUUGGUGAAGUUUUUGGAAGAGCUAAGGUGGUCUACAACUCCGCUUCUCUUGUUUACUAAGUAAGUGAUGAUUGAACAUCCUCUUAUAUCUAAUGAUGCUUAUUUUGUGCCUAAUGGUGGCUUGAGUGAUGGAAUGUGUGAUUUAUUUCUUGAUUUGAAGUGAUUUGGUGAAGUUUUUAUAUUUUUGAGGAAUUUUCUGGUUUAAUAUGAAUGGGAUGUUGUGGCUAUUUUUGAUGAUUGGCAAUGGCUUAUAAAGACUCUAGUAGGUGUGAAUUAGUGAUAAAUGCAACCAAUUUUGGGUUUGGAGUGAAAUGAGAAAAGUUAGGGUUCUUCAACCCCCUUUUCUGUCCGGUUUUGUAUCUCAGAUUUAGAGGCCGAAUUGGCUUUUGCUCAAAACAUGAAAGUUGUAGGUAUUGAUGUGUUUGAGGUGCCUGUAAAAUUUCAGGUCAUUUGGAGUAGUGUAGAGUGAGUUAUGUCGUUUUUACUGUUGCUGUUCUGGGUGAUCAGAAUGUGCGAACUGCGAUUGUAAUCGUCUGUUUUGACUGGAAUUUCUUUGGAUUUGGAUGUUGGUGUCUUCUGAUGAAAUGUAGCUUAAUGUCGUAGCUAUCAUAUUCCUUUGGAAUCAAUGAAUUUGGACCUGUAUAGCCUGAAUUGGACUGAUUACAGUUUUGUGUGAUUUGGGAACCUGCAAUUGCGGUUCUGGCUUGGUUUUCUGCAUUUUUGACCUAGUUGUGCUAGGAUUUGGACUGAGUGGCCUUCUACAUUGUUGUAGCCCUGUCUUUUAGCUUCGAUAUGGUGGGUCUUACACCCUCAUCCGAUAAGCGUAUCGCAUUUUGUGCUAUUACCGCAAAGUGACGUCCAAAACUAUUUUUCUGGUUUGAGCUAAACUUUCAUUUCCGGACUUUUCCCUAGCUUGACUUGUACUCGUACUACUUGGAGCUUGCUGAAUGGCUAUUGGAUGAACUUGUUGUUGUGUGUGUACCUUUGGGACUGAUUUGAGGAAGUAAUGAAGCCGUGAUGGCUGGAAAAGUAAGCAAAUUCAGGGGAUGUGCUGUCCAAACUUUGAAGGAACUUGUUUGCAUUGAGUUUGUGAUUUAAGACUUGGAUUUGAGCAAGACAAUGUUAUAUGCUGGAUGAUUUCUGAGCCGUGGAGGUGAGUGACCUCAAACUGUUCCCAUAUUUACUGUUGAACCGCUUUCCUGCAUUAUCUACUUUUGAACUAUUUUCAAAGUUACUUUUGGGAACUGUUUUCUUACAUAUCAUGUGUGCUUGCAUAUCAGUGUUCCUUGUUUACUGUAUUCCUUGACUUAAUGUCUUGUUAUUAUUGUUCAUUGAUUGUUAAAACGAGUUUUUUAGGCGAGUGUGUACUUUAUCGCACUCGACCUAAAUAUAUGUGAAAUUUUCAAUGAUUAAUGAUUAAAUGCUACUUGCGCAUGAAUGUAAGCCUUUUGGGCUGAACUGGCCAUUGCCCCUUGUUACCGGUUGUCUCGAGCCAGAAGCGGACUCGGUCGGGCGACUAGGAACUUGGGUGAACGUUUCGGUAUACUCGAGUAUUACCUUGUAGGUUGGUGGAGCCUGGCCAAAAGCCAGGGACGGGGUGAAUGAAUGCACGAAUGAAAUAAUGAAAUGCAAUGAAAUGACAGGAGAACGAAUGUAUCAUUUGCACGAAUGUUACUAUCGCUUUCCAUUGUACAUGUUUCUUGAAUUAUUGAUACUCCAUAUUUACUGUUUUGUAAAUGUUGAAAUUGUUUCGGGACUUAUCAUUUGAUUUGAAUUGAACAUCAUUGAAAUGAACGAUUGUGAAACUGAUAUGAUAACUGAUUUUCUUGGUUACUCGCUGAGCUUCUAGCUCACCCCAAAACUGUUUUAUUCCCCUCCACAGGGCUCAAGGCGAAGGAAGGGCUUGUAGUGUUUAUUCAUGGAUUAUCUCAUGUAUGGAUUGUACUUGAAUUUCUUUUUGUGUAAUCAUUCAUGUUGGGAUCGUAUUGAACGUUUAGAAUUGAUUGGAGGUGUAAUAGGCUAGUUUUGGACUUCCUCUUGUAUAAUCAUUGGGAUCAUGGAUCAGAGUGGCGCUGCGGAAGCGUGGACGCUUCGCUUUUGAUAUGUAAAGUUUUGGGAACCUUUGAUGUAUAUUUGAUAUAUAUAUCUUGAAAUUCAAUUGAGGAUUGUAGUGAACGACUGAGUCCCGGCGAGAGCUGGGCAGGCGGCCCGCCGAACCCUCUGGUUCGCCUUAGGGGGAGGUGGGGCCGUGACAAUUGGUAUCAGAGCUUAGGAUUCAGAUCUCUGUAGUGUAUCCUAGGCUUGAAGUUUAGGAUGCCGGACUGUGGGAUUGAUUUGACUCUUGAGAGAUUUUUGCGGGAUGUCUUGACUUGAUUGGUACAAAAGGGAAUGUCGAGGACGACAUUCUUUUAAGGAGGGGAGAUUGUGACGCCCCGAAAAAAAAUGAGUUUGAGAACCCGGAAAUUUUCUAGGGUUUAUUUUAUUUAAUCGCCCGUUUUUUCUACAUUUUCUUUAUUAGAAAAAAUUCCCCAGAUAAUGUUUCUGAGCAAAGAUAGUUUUAAAAUGAUUUUUCUAGUAUCGGUUAGUGUUUGAGAAAUUAAAAGCGUAUUUUGAAUGUGGGACCCACUAGGGCGAAAAGUUCGGAAAAAUUCGACCAAUUAGGUUAAAUUCCGGAUACUGUGUAAAAUUUAUCGGGUGUUAAGAGAUAAGUAGAGUGUGUGAAAGGAUUGAUGUGAGAGAGAAAAAAAAGGAUAGGAAUGCAUUAAUGAAGUGCCACGUGUCACUUGGUGAUUGGUUUUGACUUAAGAACACUAUUCAUUUUUUUUGACUUUGGACCAAAAUUGGUUAAAUAUCUAAAAAUUUCACAAAAAAUCACCAUUUUCUUUCACCUUGUGGCCGGCCCUCUCUCUUGCCAAGAAGGAAGAAAACUUCUUCAAUCUUCAAGCUUUCCACUAGCUCAAAUCAUCCAAAUCAAUCGCACCAACUAGUUUCCACUCCAUACAAUCUUUCCAUUUAGUGUUAGUGGUGAGUUUGGUGAAGUUUUUGGAAGAGCUAAGGUGGUCUACAACUCCGCUUCUCUUGUUUACUAAGUAAGUGAUGAUUGAACAUCCUCUUAUAUCUAAUGAUGCUUAUUUUGUGCCUAAUGGUGGCUUGAGUGAUGGAAUGUGUGAUUUAUUUCUUGAUUUGAAGUGAUUUGGUGAAGUUUUUAUAUUUUUGAGGAAUUUUCUGGUUUAAUAUGAAUGGGAUGUUGUGGCUAUUUUUGAUGAUUGGCAAUGGCUUAUAAAGACUCUAGUAGGUGUGAAUUAGUGAUAAAUGCAACCAAUUUUGGGUUUGGAGUGAAAUGAGAAAAGUUAGGGUUCUUCAACCCCCUUUUCUGUCCGGUUUUGUAUCUCAGGCUUAGAGGACGAAUUGGCUUUUGCUCAAAACAUGAAAGUUGUAGGUAUUGAUGUGUUUGAGGUGCCUGUAAAAUUUCAGGUCAUUUGGAGUAGUGUAGAGUGAGUUAUGUCGUUUUUACUGUUGCUGUUCUGGGUGAUCAGAAUGUGCGAACUGCGAUUGUAAUCGUCUGUUUUGACUGGAAUUUCUUUGGAUUUGGAUGUUGGUGUCUUCUGAUGAAAUGUAGCUUAAUGUCUUAGCUAUCAUAUGCCUUUGGAAUCAAUGCAUUUGGACCUGUAUAGCCUGAAUUGGACUGAUUACAGUUUUGUGUGAUUUGGGAACCUGCAAUUGCGGUUCUGGCUUGGUUUUCUGCAUUUUUGACCUAGUUGUGCUAGGAUUUGGACUGAGUGGCCUUCUACAUUGUUGUAGCCCUGUCUUUUAGCUUCGAGAUGGUGGGUCUUACACCCUCAUCCGAUAAGCGUAGCGCAUUUUGUGCUAUUACCGCAAAGUGACGUCCAAAACUAUUUUUCUGGUUUGAGCUAAACUUUCAUUUCCGGACUUUUCCCUAGCUUGACUUGUACUCGUACUACUUGGAGCUUGCUGAAUGGCUAUUGGAUGAACUUGUUGUUGUGUGUGUACCUUUGGGACUGAUUUGAGGAAGUAAUGAAGCCGUGAUGGCUGGAAAAGUAAGCAAAUUCAGGGGAAGUGCUGUCCAAACUUUGAAGGAACUUGUUUGCAUUGAGUUUGUGAUUUAAGACUUGGAUUUGAGCAAGGCAAUGUUAUAUGCUGGAUGAUUUCUGAGCCGUGGAGGUGAGUGACCUCAAACUGUUCCCAAAUUUACUGUUGAACCGCUUUCCUGCAUUAUCUACUUUUGAACUAUUUUCAAAGUUACUUUUGGGAACUGUUUUCUUACAUAUCAUGUGUGCUUGCAUAUCAGUGUUCCUUGUUUACUGUAUUCCUUGACUUAAUGUCUUGUUAUUAUUGUUCAUUGAUUGUUAAAACGAGUUUUUUAGGCGAGUGUGUACUUUAUCGCACUCGACCUAAAUAUAUGUGAAAUUUUCAAUGAUUAAUGAUUAAAUGCUACUUGCGCAUGAAUGUAAGCAUUUUGGGCUGAACUGGCCAUUGCCCCUUGUUACCGGUUGUCUCGAGCCAGAAGCGGACUCGGUCGGGCGACUAGGAACUUGGGUGAACGUUUCGGUAUACUCGAGUAUUACCUUGUAGGUUGGUGGAGCCUGGCCAAAAGCCAGGGACGGGGUGAAUGAAUGCACGAAUGAAAUAAUGAAAUGCAAUGAAAUGACAGGAGAACGAAUGUAUCAUUUGCACGAAUGUUACUAUCGCUUUCCAUUGUACAUGUUUCUUGAAUUAUUGAUACUCCAUAUUUACUGUUUUGUAAAUGUUGAAAUUGUUUCGGGACUUAUCAUUUGAUUUGAAUUGAACAUCAUUGAAAUGAACGAUUGUGAAACUGAUAUGAUAACUGAUUUUCUUGGUUACUCGCUGAGCUUCUAGCUCACCCCAAAACUGUUUUAUUCCCCUCCACAGGGCUCAAGGCGAAGGAAGGGCUUGUAGUGUUUAUUCAUGGAUUAUCUCAUGUAUGGAUUGUACUUGAAUUUCUUUUUGUGUAAUCAUUCAUGUUGGGAUCGUAUUGAACGUUUAGAAUUGAUUGGAGGUGUAAUAGGCUAGUUUUGGACUUCCUCUUGUAUAAUCAUUGGGAUCAUGGAUCAGAGUGGCGCUGCGGAAGCGUGGACGCUUCGCUUUUGAUAUGUAAAGUUUUGGGAACCUUUGAUGUAUAUUUGAUAUAUAUAUCUUGAAAUUCAAUUGAGGAUUGUAGUGAACGACUGAGUCCCGGCGAGAGCUGGGCAGGCGGCCCGCCGAACCCUCUGGUUCGCCUUAGGGGGAGGUGGGGCCGUGACAAUUGGUAUCAGAGCUUAGGCUUCAGAUCUCUGUAGUGUAUCCUAGGCUUGAAGUUUAGGAUGCCGGACUGUGGGAUUGAUUUGACUCUUGAGAGAUUUUUGCGGGAUGUCUUGACUUGAUU
This 6356-nucleotide long non-coding RNA is filed under the name Coffea arabica (coffee). Its description in RNAcentral is "long non-coding RNA (CARA_LNC005388)". Lineage: Eukaryota; Viridiplantae; Streptophyta; Magnoliopsida; Gentianales; Rubiaceae. The record is from RNAcentral.